CCUUAUGGGCUUAUUGUGAUGAUACCAUUAUCUGACCUGAGCAGCUAAACAACAUCAAGCCUGGUUAAUACUUGGAUGGGAACCCACCAAUGAAUACCAGGUGCUCUAGGCC
This 112-nucleotide ribosomal RNA is filed under the name Anolis carolinensis (green anole). The record is from RNAcentral. Lineage: Eukaryota; Metazoa; Chordata; Lepidosauria; Squamata; Anolidae.